Xyrauchen texanus (razorback sucker) is the source of this 3912-nucleotide long non-coding RNA. RefSeq lists it as uncharacterized. The record is from RefSeq and is a predicted model, not a curated record. The transcript is spliced from 6 exons. Lineage: Eukaryota; Metazoa; Chordata; Actinopteri; Cypriniformes; Catostomidae.
CACUGAAGUAUAACUCAGUUUCCUGUGGGCCUAGCAAAUACACAAUUCCUUUAGUUCUACUCAUUUAUUUGGGAAUAGGGGAAUACUUACUCAGGAUUUGAGAGAGGACAUUUCACAUUGGAUAUGUUGGUCUUCGCCUUGGCGUUCAUCUCUGUUUCAGCCACUGGUAGGACUGAUCAUUAGAGACCUCUGGGUAUCAAGCCCCAUUGGUCCGGACAGGUGAUUUUGGACAAUCCAGCUACCUAAUCACUGAAGAACACCUGAGAUUCCUGCUUUCAUGUGGAUUUGUAACUACGCAAAUUGCUGAAAUCCUGGAUGUAUCAGUCAGUAUUUAAACGAAGAUUGAGGCGCUUCAACUUGUCCUACCUGAUGAGGUAUGAACGUCUUUCUAAUGCAGAACUUGAAGUGGUCCGGCAGUUGGUUGGAGAAAAUGAAGAGAUCGGAGCAAAUGCUGUUUUGGCCAGACUAGCUGCUAUGGGUGUUCGAGUGCAUAGAAGAGCGAGAGCGAGUUUGAUUCGAGUGGAUCCGCACAAAGCGCAUUGUCUCACCGAUUGUACCGGAGAACCUACAGUGUUGCAGGACCCAACUGGCUGUGGCACAUAGAUGGGAACCACAAGCUCAUCAGAUGGAGAAUAGUGAUCCAUGGUGGAAUCUGUGGCUUCAGCAGGCUGGUUGUUUUUGCAGGCUUCAAAUAAUAACAGAAGUAGCACAGUGUUUGACCAGUUUGUUCAAGCUACUGCUAGGUAUGGGGUACCGUCUCGAAUAAGGUGUGACCAUGGGGUAGAAAACAAUGCUGUUUGCUUGUUCAUGAAAAUUUACCAUGGAUUAGAAAGAGGAAGUGCCAUCCGGGGCAGAAGUGUCCAUAACCAGGGAAUUGAGAGGCUUUGGGGAGAUCUCUGGAGAGGUAUGACUAAUGUGUACCACCAGCUUUUCACCUUCCUUGAAAAUGAUGGAAUCAUUGACCGUACCAAUGAGCUGCACUCGUGGGCACUGCAUUGUUUACCUCGGAUUAAACGGGACCUGGAAGUUUUCAGGGAACAAUGGAACAACCAUGGCUUGCGCACUGUUGGCCACCACACACCAUAUCAGAUAUUUGUCCAAGGAUGUCUUCAGAGGCAUAUGCAACCACUCACAGCCAUGGCAGAGAUUUUUGAAUCCAACACUGCUCAAGUUGCUGCUGCUGCAGUUCCUGCUCUGAAUUGGCAAGAAAGAGUAACCGUUCCUGCUAACCAAUUCAGUCCAAGACCUGCACAGAUGCAUCAACUCCAAGAUGUGGACACUCUGGCAGGACCGAUUGGUAGUCUAGCCAUAGAUCCACUCCAAUGUAAUUGAAAUUUUGAAACAGUAAUUUUUUUUUGUCCAUGCCUCUGUAUUGUUCCCUUGUUUCUUUGUAUCUCUCUCCCACCGGAGGGACCAGUUAGUCUCUCUGUGUCAGCUAGAUGAGAUACUGGUCCAAAAGGCAACGGUAGACCAGACCGCUCAACUGCUGUGGAGGGGACUGCACUCUAAUCCAGGGGAUAAUGAAUCCCCUGGGGAAAGGGAGGGUUAGAUGCCGUGAUUACACAGUUACUAGGUCAGUUGUAGAACACAGGACCUCCUCCAGCUGAUGGAGAGAUCUCUUCUCUCCCAUCUGUCAGUAUGAAAUGUGACUGGGCUGCAAGACAAAUUGACUAAACUGACAGCAAGUGUCUGAUUGCAGGUGGGAGAAACUCCGUUUAGAGACAAAAGUGAGUGGAGCUUAUUAACUUUACGUCCUAUAAAUGUAGCUAAUGUUACGUAGCAUUAUUAGUGACUCCUUUUGCUGUUGAUGCUGCUAUUAUUAGUGUAGAUGCAGAUACAUGUUGAACUAUGCACUUUACAAUGCUCCAACCACACCUCUCUGCCUUACAGAAAUAGAUCUGCUCUUUUUUUUUUUUUUUUUUUUUUUGUCCUAUCUAGUGUAGUUAUUGUGUUGUCUUGAAAGUUGAUUAUUUUGUGAUCUUGUUUUUAGCGCCAUGGACCUUGAGGAACAACAUUUCGUUAAUGUAUGUACUCUGUAUAUUGAUAAAUGACAAUAAACAAACUUUAACUAGUAGCCAAAGAUGUACUGUUAGCUUUCCAUUUCAGUAUUCAGACCCGAGUCUGCAGCCCAGGGGAGAUGUUUGGGGGACACUCUGACCUACACUGUACAUUUACUGCCACACUGACAACUUAUUGCUCAUAUUUUCCUCUGGUGCUCUUGCUUUCAGUCAUUUUCUGCUGCCUGUCACAUAGGUGUCCUUUGAAGAAUGAGGAGAGGUAGCUAGCCAAUUGUUGAAUGUUACCGUGCUUGCACAGUGUGCGAGAAAUCAUUAGUUGCUUUUUUUUUUUUUUUUAUAUACAGUCUGUUAGUUGCACUUUUAUAAUAAUCGCUUUAAAAUUCAAAGCGGCGAUGUGCCAAAUAGGGGGAACAAUGUUAUGUGCACUCCACCAACUGUCUGGCGCUGCACUGUGCACUUCAGAGUACUGCCUCUUUUGUUCUGUCAUCAUUAAGUUACCAAUUAACAUUUAGGAAAUCGAUUUGUGACUAGUUUCAGAAUCAUCCGCAUUGCAUCAAAGUAUUGAUUUAUUUACUUAUUUUCCCCCCACCCCUUCUAACCACAGGGGUAUUGAUAAACAUUUAUUUUUCUCCUGUAGACUGCUGUAUGGAAUGUCCAGUGCACAGAGAGAACUUUGCAGUGGGAGAGCCAGUCAGACAGCUACCCUGUAACCACUUCUUUCAUUCAGAAUGGCUGGAAAUGGUGUGUCAUAACAAAGAGUUGAGCUUUUGUAAAAUAAACUCCCAAAACAGAUCCUUAAUGACAUUUAGUACUUUAUGAUAUUCACAGUGCUCAUUCAGGUAUUAGGACCUAAAGGAAUUUUGAACAUGCUUUGGCUACCUGGUAGAAACAUUUAUGUGGGGUCGACUCAAAAUAAGUUAAUGACACCGAACAAUAAGCUCUUAUAAAGAAUUUUGCCAGCUUUACCUUUUAGAAUUGCCUUAAAGUAAUGUCAAAUUACAAUCAACUAUACAUUAUUAGAUGCUAAAUGCAGAAUUGGAUCACCCAUGCUGAAGUUGCCCUACUAUAGCAGUCAUUGAACAUUAGCAGUGGGGGAUUUUGCUGAGGUAUUUUUGACUUGCCAGACAAUGGUCAAAGAACAGCCUGAGCAUUGUGUGAAAUGGGACUAAAAGGAGUCGUCCACUUGUUCUCUCUUGUGAGAGAACUGCCAAAAGCUAAUGUAAUCUAUAUUCUGUUCUAUGGCCACAUAGCAUGUCCAGUGUGUAGGAAGUGGUGGUGGCUUAGUGUACUAAAGCACAUAACUGUUAAUCAGAAGGUUGCUGGUUCGAUCCCCACAGCCACCACCAUUGUGUCCUUGAGCAAGACACUUAAUCAAAGUUGCUCCAGGGGGGAUUGUCUCUGUAAUAAGUGCACUGUAAGUCGCUUUGGAUAAAAGCAUACAGACGUCAUAACAGUAGGUUGUUCAAGCCCAUGUCUUCUCAAUUUUCACCUCUGCAACUCCUCUUUCUUGAAAUGCACUGCUGCAAUACGCUAUUGUGUGGAAAUGCCAGACUUUGUCAUACCAUGUCCUCUUUACACAUCAGAAAAUUAGCUAAAUCCUGCAAUUGAACCCUCUACGGCAUAUGGGAUGGCUGUAGGGGUUACUUUCACUCUUGGUAUUUACAGGGUCUGGACCUAACAAUAUGAACACAAUAUAGCCCUGCAAUAAAUGUUAUGUUUAUGAAGGAUAUAAUUAUAUAUUUUGUUUGAGAUUAUGACCGGAAGAUUGAUCUCUGGUUAUUUAUUCUGGUGGUGUUUUAUUGGAUUGCAUUAUAUACCCAUGGGCCAAUGACUGGUUGAUGGGCAAUUGAUGGGGUAUCUUUAAAAUUUUAUGUUUACGAAAUAAACCUUUCUC